AGCGAACGCUAGCGGGUGGCUUAACACAUGCAAGUCGAGCGGACGGUUUCGGCCGUCAGCGGCGAACGGGUGAGUAACACGUAGGAUAUCUACCUCGGGGGUGGGGACGAACCCGCCGAAAGGACGGGCGUGAUACCGCAUAUGGCCUAAGGGUCGAAAGACAGCAAUGUGCCUUGAGAUGAGCCUGCGGCCCAUUAUUUAAUCCUAGUUGGCGGGGUAAGUGGCCCACCAAGGGUACGAUGGGUAGCUGGUCUGAGAGGACGAUCAGCCACACUGGGACUGAGACACGGCCCAGACUCCUACGGGAGGCAGCAGCGGGGAAUAUUGCGCAAUGGGCGAAAGCCUGACGCAGCCAACCCGCGUGUGUGAUGAAGGCCCUUCGGGUUGUAAAGCACUGUCGUGAGGGAAGAAGAUCUGACGGUACCUCACAAGAAAGACACCGGCUAACCCCGU
This 453-nucleotide ribosomal RNA is filed under the name uncultured bacterium. RNAcentral's name for it is "bacterial SSU rRNA". It matches the Rfam family "Bacterial small subunit ribosomal RNA", at positions 29 to 506 of the family's 1533-position model. The record is from RNAcentral.